UUGAACGCUGGCGGCAUGCCUUACACAUGCAAGUCGAACGGCAGCACGGGGGCAACCCUGGUGGCGAGUGGCGAACGGGUGAGUAAUACAUCGGAACGUGUCCUGUAGUGGGGGAUAGCCCGGCGAAAGCCGGAUUAAUACCGCAUACGCUCUACGGAGGAAAGGGGGGGAUCUUAGGACCUCCCGCUACAGGGGCGGCCGAUGGCAGAUUAGCUAGUUGGUGGGGUAAAGGCCUACCAAGGCGACGAUCUGUAGCUGGUCUGAGAGGACGACCAGCCACACUGGGACUGAGACACGGCCCAGACUCCUACGGGAGGCAGCAGUGGGGAAUUUUGGACAAUGGGGGCAACCCUGAUCCAGCAAUGCCGCGUGUGUGAAGAAGGCCUUCGGGUUGUAAAGCACUUUUGUCCGGAAAGAAAACGCCGUGGUUAAUACCCGUGGCGGAUGACGGUACCGGAAGAAUAAGCACCGGCUAACUACGUG
RNAcentral lists this ribosomal RNA (483 nucleotides) under uncultured bacterium. RNAcentral's name for it is "partial 16S ribosomal RNA". It matches the Rfam family "Bacterial small subunit ribosomal RNA", at positions 29 to 507 of the family's 1533-position model. The record is from RNAcentral.